This 178-nucleotide small nuclear RNA is filed under the name Canis lupus familiaris (dog). RNAcentral describes it as "U2 spliceosomal RNA (ENSCAFG00040025375.1)". It matches the Rfam family "U2 spliceosomal RNA". From Rfam's summary of the family: U2 is a small nuclear RNA (snRNA) component of the spliceosome (involved in pre-mRNA splicing). Complementary binding between U2 snRNA (in an area lying towards the 5' end but 3' to hairpin I) and the branchpoint sequence (BPS) of the intron results the bulging out of an unpaired adenosine, on the BPS, which initiates a nucleophilic attack at the intronic 5' splice site, thus starting the first of two transesterification reactions that mediate splicing. The record is from RNAcentral. Lineage: Eukaryota; Metazoa; Chordata; Mammalia; Carnivora; Canidae.
AUCACUUCUUAGCCUUUUGGCUAAGAUCAAGUGUAGCAUCUGUUCUUAUCAGUUUAAUAUCUGGUAUGUUCUCUAUCCAAGAACAAUAUAUUAAAUGGAUUUUUGAAGGGAGAUGGCAUAGGGGCUUGCUCUGUCCACUCCAUGCAUCAGUAUGGUAUUGUAGAACAGUGCACCCCCU